RNAcentral lists this ribosomal RNA (521 nucleotides) under Pyrenophora tritici-repentis. RNAcentral describes it as "eukaryotic LSU rRNA". The stretch from base 184 to 337 matches the Rfam family "5.8S ribosomal RNA". The record is from RNAcentral. Lineage: Eukaryota; Fungi; Ascomycota; Dothideomycetes; Pleosporales; Pleosporaceae.
CAUUACACAAAUAUGAAGCCGGACUGGGAUAGGGCCUCGCUGCCUUGCCCGUCUGGCGCCAUAUUCACCCAUGUCUUUUUGCGUACUACUUGUUUCCUUGGCGGGUCCGCCCGCCAAUUGGACCUUAUUCAAACCUUUUUUUCAGUUGCAAUCAGCGUCAGCAAAACAAAUGUAAUCAAUUACAACUUUCAACAACGGAUCUCUUGGUUCUGGCAUCGAUGAAGAACGCAGCGAAAUGCGAUAAGUAGUGUGAAUUGCAGAAUUCAGUGAAUCAUCGAAUCUUUGAACGCACAUUGCGCCCUUUGGUAUUCCAAAGGGCAUGCCUGUUCGAGCGUCAUUUGUACCCUCAAGCUUUGCUUGGUGUUGGGCGUCUUGUCUCUCUCCCGAGACUCGCCUUAAAAUCAUUGGCAGCCGGCCUACUGGUUUCGGAGCGCAGCACAUUAUUUGCGCUCUUGUCCAGCCGCGGUCGCGCGUCCAUGAAGCUUCUUUCAACCUUUUGACCUCGGAUCAGGUAGGGAUAC